CACCAAACUCUUUCCUACACACUUUGCAGAACGCUUUACUUUCAUCAUGUAGGGCUUUGGCAAUCCAUGGAUACUUCCCCACCCACUCCUCCCGGUACCUGCAUAGACGUUUAAGCUUUUUUGCGGCGUGUUGGGGUUCCGGUACACCAGCCAUGUCAACGAAACGAAUUAAUGAAAAUUAGCUAAUCAGUGCAUAUCUUAAUGCGCGCCUAAAUAUAAAAAAAAAAACAAGAUGCUGCAGCCAAUGAGCAGCCGGCGGGGGCUGGCUGCAGGAUGACUCAACCUGCUCGCUCAUGUUUUAUCAGAUAAUAACUACUCAAGAUUUUGCUUCAGUAUAAUUUUCAGGACAAUUAGAGCGGGAUUUGGGAUAAAGAUUUUGCUUCAGUAUAAUUUUCGGGACAAUUUGAGCAGAAUUCGGGAUUCGGGACAGCAGCUUAAAUUUCGGGACUGUCCCGAAUUUUUCGGGACGUCUGGUCACCCUAGUAUAUCUGCAUAUACCCUGCACUACACCACUGCUUAUACAGCCUUCCGUACCUUCUUGAUUCCUGCGCUCUGCCAUCGAGCGACGGCUUGUUCCAUCUCAAAAAGCAUCUCAAAAAACAUUAGCGCGUACCUUCUCAGGAACUGUUCCACAACUGUGGAAUGAUCUGCCGGUCGCGACACGAUCUGUUGACUAUCUAGCUGUCUUUAAGAAUCUGCCUCACUUUCUAAUAUAGGACUUACUGUCUUUCUCUAUUUUGCUUUUUUCUUUAUCUCUAUCUGUACACUCUUACAAAAAACAACCACAACCCAUAGCUACUGUAUGUAUACUGCGUUAGACUUGUGUGUGAGUGAGACAAUUUCUACUGCACUUAUUUAUUGCUGUUCUUGUGUUGCUAUAAUUGGUUAUAUUAUUUACCUCAUUUGUAAGUGGCUUUGGACAAAAGCGUCUGCUAAAUGACUAAAUGUAAAUGUACAUCAAAUUUAACCGUCACCUUCUGUCUUUCAACGGCUACAAUGAGAUAGUCGAGGUCAGAUCCAUCCCCAUUGACCUUCAAAAUGUGUUUCCCGGACAGGGUUUAGGUUAAUCCAGGACUAGGCCUAAUCAGAGCCGGAUUAAAUAAAUGGACUACACUAGGCAGGCUGCAUUUUUUGCCCCCCCCCCAUCGAGGUUAUUUAUGAAUUUAAAUCUGAAACUUACCAAAGUUACAAAUAAAAGUAAAUUCACAUUUUACAUAGCCUAGUCUUUGGUUACAAAUUGUUUGUAUGCCAAAUUAAGUCUUGUGUUGUAUAUUAACCAGUCUAUCAGACUAUUUUUUGCUAAAUGUAUUAUUUAUACGUCAUUACACGGCUCUAUUAAAUGCUAUUAAAUUGAUUAUCCUCACCUUAUCCAUUGGGAGUGUCAUUAUUAAGGCAGUAGUACCAGUAAAUAACCAAUAGGUGUCAGUAAUCCGCGGGAGAACUUCGCUGCAUAUUUCUCUUCAAGAUUGAGAAUCGCAACGAAAUCCUCGUCGAGCAACACGUCCACUGAGCAACCAUGUCUGUGUCCUUAAAGGAACUCUGUCAGGUACAGAGUGGAACGAUGAACUUGAAAAUCAACCAUUCUGAUGACUGGCGUCCCCAUCCGAGUCACCACCUCAGACAACAACAGUCAUAAACUCACAAACACAAAUACACUCAGUAAUGCGCUUAAUAAAGAAAGACUUAACUAUGA
Molecule: non-coding RNA, 1693 nt
Organism: Misgurnus anguillicaudatus (oriental weatherfish)
Lineage: Eukaryota; Metazoa; Chordata; Actinopteri; Cypriniformes; Cobitidae
Source: RefSeq, a predicted model, not a curated record